CAGUCGCCGCGGGAAUACCGAGGGUGCAAGCGUUAAUCGGAAUUACUGGGCGUAAAGCGCGCGUAGGUGGUUCGCCAAGUUGGAUGUGAAAUCCCCGGGCUCAACCUGGGAUCUGCAUCCAAAACUGGCGAGCUAGAGUAUGGUAGAGGGUGGUGGAAUUUCCUGUGUAGCGGUGAAAUGCGUAGAUAUAGGAAGGAACACCAGUGGCGAAGGCGACUACCUGGACUGAUACUGACACUGAGGUGCGAAAGCGUGGGGAGCAAACAGGAUUAGAUACCCCCGUAGUCCCUGUCUCUUAUAC
RNAcentral lists this ribosomal RNA (301 nucleotides) under uncultured bacterium. Its description in RNAcentral is "partial 16S ribosomal RNA". It matches the Rfam family "Bacterial small subunit ribosomal RNA", at positions 509 to 807 of the family's 1533-position model. The record is from RNAcentral.